Molecule: non-coding RNA, 72 nt
Organism: Phrynosoma platyrhinos (Desert horned lizard)
Lineage: Eukaryota; Metazoa; Chordata; Lepidosauria; Squamata; Phrynosomatidae
Source: the annotation of a GenBank genome assembly
CUGGGUGUUGCGUAGUGGUUUGAACACUGGACUAUGACUCUGGAGACCAGGGUUCGAUUCCCUGCUCCACUA